CCUACGGGUGGCAGCAGUAGGGAAUCUUCCACAAUGGGCGAAAGCCUGAUGGAGCAACGCCGCGUGGGUGAAGAAGGUCUUCGGAUCGUAAAACCCUGUUGUUAGAGAAGAAAGUGCGUGAGAGUAACUGUUCACGUUUCGACGGUAUCUAACCAGAAAGCCACGGCUAACUACGUGCCAGCAGCCGCGUUAAUACGUAGGUGGCAAGCGUUAUCCGGAUUGGUUGGGCGUAAAGGGAACGCAGGCGGGCUUGUAAGUCUGAUGUGAAAGCCUUCGGCUUAACUGGAGUAGUGCAUUGGAAACUAGGAGACUUGAGUGCAGAAGAGGUGAGUGGAACUCUAUGUGUAGCGGUGAAAUGCGUAGAUAUAUGGAAGAACACUAGUGGCGAAGGCGGCUCUCUGGUACGUAACUGACGCUGAGGUUCGAAAGCGUGGGUAGCAAACAGGAUUAGAUACCCGUGUAGUC
This 465-nucleotide ribosomal RNA is filed under the name uncultured bacterium. RNAcentral describes it as "partial 16S ribosomal RNA". It matches the Rfam family "Bacterial small subunit ribosomal RNA", at positions 338 to 795 of the family's 1533-position model. The record is from RNAcentral.